Molecule: long non-coding RNA, 6370 nt
Filed under: Sus scrofa (pig)
Lineage: Eukaryota; Metazoa; Chordata; Mammalia; Artiodactyla; Suidae
Description: lncRNA (ENSSSCG00060067467.1)
Source: RNAcentral
AUGAUAGGGAUUGCACUGAAUCUGUAGAUUGCCUUAGGUAGUAUAGUCAUUUUGAUAAUAUUGACUCUUCCAAUCCAAGAGCAUGGUAUGUAUGUCUUUCCAUCUGUUUGUGUCAUCUUUGAUUUCUUUCAUCAGCAUCUUACAGUUUUCAGAGUAUAGGUCUUUUGACUCUUUAUGUAGGUUUAUUCCUAAGUAUUUUAUUCUUUUUGAUGUGAGAGUAAGUGGGAUUGUUUCCCUAACUGACCUCUCAUUGUUAGUUUAUAGAAUGCAGUUGAUUUCUGUGUAUUAAUUUUGUAUCCUGCGGCUUUGCUAAAUUCAUUGAUGAGCUGUAACAGUUUUCUCUAGCGUCUUUGGAUUUUCUAGGUAUAGUAUCAUGUCAUCUGCAAGUAGUGAUAGUUUUACUUCUUCCUUUCCAGUUUCGAUUCCUUUUCUUUCCUUUUUUUUUUUUUUUUUCUGAUUGCCGUGGCCAGGACUUCCAAAACUAUGCUGAAUGGUAGAGGAAAGAGCGGGCAUCACUGUCUUGUUCCUAUUCUCAUCGGGAACUCUUUCAGCUUUUCACCAUUGAGAAUUAUGUUAGCUGUGGGUUUGUCAUAUAUGGCUUUUGUUAUGCUGAGGUAGGUUCCUUCUAUGCCCACUUUCUAAAGGGUUCUUAUCAGAAAGGGGUGUUGGAUUUUGUCAAAGGCUUUUUCUGCAUCUGUUGAGAGGAUCUUAUAGUUUCUAGUCUUCAGUUGUUAAUGUGGUGUAUCACAAUGAUUGAUUUGCAAAUACUGAAGAAUCUUUGCAUCCCUGGGAUAAAUCCCACUUGAUCCUGAUGUACAGUCCUUUUAAUGUGUUGUUGCAUUCGGUUUGCUAUUAUAUUGUUGAGGAUUUUUGCAUCUAUGUUCAUCAGUGAUAUCAGCCCAUAAUUUUUUUUUUUUGUGGUUAUCUUUGAUUGGGUGAUGGUGGCCUCGUGGAAUGAGUUUGAGAGUAUUCCUUCCUCUGCAGUUUCUUGGAAUAGUUUCAGAAGGAUGGAUGUUAACUCUUCUCUGAAUGUUUGAUGGAAAUCUGGGCCUGCACUUUUGUUUGUUAGAGGUUUUUAAAUCACAGUUUCAAUUUCAGUUCUUGUGAUUGGUCCAUUCAUCUUUUCUAUUUCAUCUUGGUUUAGUCUUGGAAGAUUGUGCUUUUCUAAGAAUUUGUCCAUUUCUUCUAGGUUUUCUGUUUUACUGGCAAGUAGUUGCAUAUAGUAGUCUCUUAUGAUCCUUUUUAUUUCUGUGAUGUCCUUGUAACUUCUUUUUCAUUCCUAAUUUUAUUGAUUUGAGUCCUCUCUUUUUUUCUUGGUAAGUCUGGCUAAGGGUUUAUCAACUUUGUUGAUCUUUUCAAAGAACCAGCCUUUAGUUUCAUUGGUAUCUUCUAUGGUUUUCUUCAUUUCUAUUUCAUUUAUUUCUGUUCCAAUCUUUAUAAUUUCUUUCCUUCUGCUAACUUUAGGUCUUGUCUCUCUAGCUGCUUUAGAUGUAAAGUUAGAUUGUUUAUUUGAGUUUUUCCUUAUUUCCUGAGGUAGGCUCAUAUUGCUAUAAAUGUCCCUCUUGGAACUGCUUUUGCUACAUUGCAUAGGUUUUGGAGUGUUGUAUCUUUGUUGUCAUUUGCUUCUAUGUAUUUUUUUUUAAUUUCCUCUUUGAUUUCUUUAGUGAUCCAUUGGUUGUUUAGUAGCAUGCUGUUUAGUUUCCAUGUGUUUAUGGUUUUUGCAGUUUUUGUUGUUGAUAUCUUCUAUAGUGUUGUGGUCAGAAAAGAUGCUUGAUAUGAUUUGUUUUCUUAAAGUUGCCAAGACUUGAUUUGUGGCCCAGAAUGUGAUCAGUCCUAGAGAUGGUCCGUGUGCACUUCAGAAGAAUCGGUAUUCUGCUGCUUUUGGAUGGAAUGUUCUAUAAAUAUCUAUUAGGUCCAUCUGGUCUAGUGCUUGAUUUAGGCCCGUGUUUCUUUGUUGAUUUUCUGUCUGGAUGAUCUGUCCAUUGCUGUAAGUGGGGAGUCAAAGUCCCCCACUAUUGCUGUGUUAUUGUCACUUUAUCCUUUUAGGGUUGUUAGCAGUUGCCUUAUAUAUUGUGCAACUAUGUUGGGUGCAUAGAUAUUUAAAAUUGUUAUAUCUUCUUCUUCGAUUGAUUCUUUAUCAUUAUGUAAUGUCCUUCCAUGGCUCUUAAAAUAUUCUUCAUUUUAAGGUCUGUUUUAUCUGAUAUGAGUAUUGCUACUGCAGCUUUCUUUUGAUUCCUGUUUGCAUGGAAUAUUUUCUUCCAUCCUCUUUCAAUUCGUAUGUGUCCCCAGAAGUGAAAUGUGUCUCUUGAAGACAGCAUGUAUAUGAAUCUUGUUUUUGUAUCCAUUCAGCCUGUCUAUGUCUUUUGGUUGGGCCAUUUAGUCCAUUUGCAGUGCAAAGUAAUUCUUGAUGUGUAUGUUCUUCUUGCCAUUUUAUCAACUGUUUCAGAUUUGGUUUUGUUGCUCUUUUUUCUUCCCUUCUUGUUCUUUCCUCUUGUGGUUUGAUGACUGUCUUUAGUGUUGUAUUUGAGUUAAUCUUUCGUAUUUGUGUAUCAGUUGUAGGUUUGGUUUGCAGUUUCCCUGAAGUUUUGAUGUAGGAGUUUUGAUUAAUACGUGUCUCGGGGUGCUCCUCCUUGGGUUUAUAUUAUAUGGUACUCGUUGUGCUUCCUGGAUUUGAGUGAGUGGUUCCUUUCCCAUGUUAGAGAAAUUUUCGACUAUUAUCUCUUUGAAUAUUUUUUCUGUCCCCUUCUCUCUCUCUCCUCCUUCUGGCACCGCUAUAAUAUGGAUGUUGGUGUGUUUAACGUUGUCCCAGAGUUCUCUGAGACUGUCUUCAUUUGUUUUCAAUCUUUUUUUCUUUUCUGUUCUGCAUCCGUGAUUUCCACUAGUCUGUCCUCCACCUCACUUAUUCAUUCUGCCUCCUAUAUUCUGCUGUUGGCUGCUUCUAAUGAAUUUUUUAUUUCAGUUACUGUAUUUUGCAUCUCUCCUUACUUAAGUUUUGUAUCUUCUAUCUCUUUGCUCAGUGUUUCCUGUAAGUUACCCAUCUUUGCCUCCAGUUUAUUUCCAGUGUCUUACAUCAUCUUCAGCAUCAUCAGUCUAAAGUCUUUUUCCUUGAGGCUGAUAAUCUCCAGAUCACCUAGCUGUUUUUCUGGGUUUUCUUUCUCCCUUACCUGAGUUAUAGCUCUUGGCCUUUUCAUUUUUAUAGGUUUUUGGUGUGUUCUCCUUUUUGCAGACUAUAGAGUUGUACUCUCUCUUUCUUCUGGUGUCUGCCCCCCUUGUGGCUGAAGUUGGUAUGGGGGCUUGCUGUAGGCUUCCAGAUGGGAGGGACUGGUGCCUACCCAUUGGUAGGUGGGGCUGAUUCCUAUCCCUCUGGUGGGUGGGGCUUUGUCUCUGGGUGAGAAUAAAGGUUGGCUGUGUGCCUGGGGGGUCUUUAGGCAGCCUGUUUACUGAUGGGCAGGGCUGUGAUCCCACCUGGAUUGUUGUUUGGCCUGGGGCUUCUCAGCACCAAUGGGUGGGACCAGAUUUUCCCAAAAAACAGGCCACCUCCAGAGAAAGGCAUGCUGCUAAAGAUUCCCAAGAGCUUUGCUUCCAAUGUCCUUCCCCCACAAUGAGCCACAUUCACCCCUGUUUUCCCAGGAGAUUCUCCAAGAACUGCAGUCAGGUCCAACCCAGAUUCCUAGGGAGUCUCUGCUUUGCCCUGGGACCCAGUGUACAUGAAGGUCUGUGUGCUCCUUUCAAAAAUGGGGUCUCCGCUUCCCUCAGUCCCCUGGAUCUCCUGCGCACAAGCCCCACUGGCCAUCGAUGCCAGACGCUCUGGUGGGCUCUUUCUCCCAGUGCCAGGUCCCCAGGCAUUGGGGCCUGAUGUGGGGCUCAGAACUCUCACUCCUGUAGGUGAGUCUCUGUCAUAGUUACUCUCCAGUCUGUGGGCUGCCCACCCGGCGGGUAUGGAUGGGGUUGCUUAUAUCACGUAACCACCCCUCCUGCCACCUUGACGUGACCUCCUCUUUGUCUUCUAGAGUAGGAUAUCUGUUUUGAAAGUCUCCAGUCUAUCUGGUUGAAGGUUGUUCAGCAUUUGGUUGUAAUUUUGUUGUUUUUAUGAGAGAAGCUGAGCUCCAGUCUUCUGUUCUGCAAUCUUAAUCCCAUCUCAACAGAUAUUUUUACAGUUAAAAAAAAAAACCUCCUAUCUAGUUUGCUAAUAAAAAUUAUUGUCAUCAGUGUCCACAAGGAUUUUGACUGCUUUUUCUGCAUUUGUGGUGCCAUAUAUAAUGCUGUUUCUUUCAUUUACCUUAUUAAUAUGAGCAAUUGCAGUAAUAGACAAUAUUGCAUUCCUGUGAUAAAUCCCACCUGUUCAUGCUCUAUUUUCUUUAAAUACUGCUGUAGUCACUAUUUUUUGGUGGGAUUUCUUAAAAAAUAUGUUCAAGGGUAAAAUUGUUCUAGAUUUUUAUUUUCCUUGUGUAGAUUUAGUGUUUUAUGAGGAAAUCUAUAUUUGCCUCAUAAAAUAAGUUGCAUAAUUUUAUUUUGCUAUGUUCUUGGAAUAGUUUGUCAUGAUGAUUUGUUAGAAGUUGUGUGUUAAAAAAAAGUCAACUCUUGUCAUUUGAAGGACAGAAUAAACGUGUUUCCUUUAAAUGUUAUUGGUUUAAGUUUUUUAAAAGAAAAAUUUUCUUUUUUAAUUGCAGUGUAGUUGAUUUACAAUGUUGUGUUACUUUCAGAAGCACAGCAAAGAGAUUCAGGGUCUUUUCUAUUAUAGGUUCAUACACGAUACUGAGUAUAGUUCCCUGGGCUAUACAGUAGGAGCGUGUUUAUCUAUUUUAUGUACAGUAGUGUGUGUGUGUGUGUGUGUGAAUCCCAAAUUCUCAAUUUAUUCCUUCUCUCUCUUUUCCCAUUGGUAACCGUAAGUUUACUCUCCAUGUCUGUGAGUUCACUUCUGUUUUGUAAACAAUUUCAUUUGUAUCUUUUUUUAGAUUCUACGUGUAAGUGAUACUAUAUGAUAUUUGUCUUUCUCUGACUACUUUGGUUGGCAUGAUAACCUCCAGAGCCAUCCACGCUGCUGCCAGUGGCACUUCUUCAUGCUUUUCUGUGGCUGAGUGGUGGCCUCUUCUCCACAUCUUCCUUCUCCAGUCCUUUGCUAAUGAAUACUUAGGUUCCUCCCAUGUCUUGGCUUUUGGGAAUAGUGCUGCAGUGAACAAUGGGAUACAUGUAUCUUUUCAAAUUACGGUUUGCUCCAUAAAACAGAUUUUCCUGAGACAAUUUUGGUUAAGGUGUUUUUCUGGAUAAUAGUCUGUUUAGUCUCUGUUUUCCAAUUUUUGGUACCGUGUAAAUCAGUAUCAGUGUGUGGUAUUUACUUUAAAUUUCUCUUUGUUAAAGUUGUGUCUACUUUUGUCAUUCUUUGUGUUGUUUAUUUAUUUCUUGACUGAGCCUGAAUUUCUCCUGCUCACUCUCCUCAGAUGAUGAUCUAUUUUUAAAAAGAAAAAAUACAUAUACGUUUAAAAAAGAAAGUUUAAAUAUACAUAUGUUAACUACACAUUUUUCUAACAAUGUAUGACAGCAUUAGGUACCUCUUUUAACCUUCUCCCUAAACUACGAAGACCUUAGCGUAUUUUACCUUUUUCUGUUUGUAUUUCUUAUUUUUAUAUGCAGAUAUAGUAUCUUUGUGAUUAACAAUUAAUUAGGAGUUCCCACUGUGGCACAGUGGGUUAUGAACCCAAUAGCAAUGGCUCUGGUCACUGAGCAGGUGCAGUUUCAAUCCUGCCAUGCAGCAGGUUAAAGGAACCAGCGUAGGUCUCAGCUGCAGCUCAACCCCUGGCCCAGGAACUUCCAUAUGCUCCAGGUGCAGCAAUAAAUUUCUUAAUUAAAUGUGGUAAUAUGUUUUUAAUUAAUUUCUUGUUCACUAUUAUCUAGGUCAUAUAUGCACAUUUGAUUCUUUUUGUCUGUAUUUAUUUGCUUCCUGCAAAUAUAACUUUUACAGUACUUUUAGUAAGCACACAUAGUUUGUACAAUGUUACUUGUCUUUAUAUUUCUGUAUACUCUGUGCUCCUUGUUGGAGGAUAAUAACCUGGGUAUAGAUUGAAGUUGAUACUGUUCAUCUCCCAGUAAUGUGAAAGCUAUCACUCCAGAGUUCCCAUCAUGGCUCAGUGGUUAACGAAUCCAACCAGGAACCAUGAGGUUGCGGGUUCAAUCCAAGGCCUUGCUCAGUGGGUUAAGGAUCCAGCAUUGCCAUGAGCUGUGGUGUAAGUCACAGAUGCAACUCAGAGCCCGUGUUGCUGUGACUGUGACGUAGGCUGGUGGCUACAGCUCUGGUUGACUCCUAGCCUGGGAACCUCCAUAUGCCGUGGGAGCAGCCCAAGAAAUGGCAAAAAAAACAAAAAAAAAAAAAAAA